Molecule: unclassified non-coding RNA, 207 nt
Filed under: uncultured Agaricales
Lineage: Eukaryota; Fungi; Basidiomycota; Agaricomycetes; Agaricales
Description: sequence contains ITS1
Source: RNAcentral
UUGAAUAGUACGUGGUGCUGUGCUGGCCUUUCGGGGCAUGUGCACGCAUUGCAACCUAUUAUCUUCAUCUUGUGAACCAGUGUAGGCUUUUUGGUUGAUUGGGUUUGGCGCAAGCUGAACUUGAAAGGCCCGAGGUCUAUGAUUUAUAAACCAUUUGUAUGUCUUUGAAUGUCUCUUUACUUGACCGCAAGGUCAGUAAAAUCUAUA